UACGGAGGGGGCUAGCGUUGUUCGGAAUUACUGGGCGUAAAGCGCACGUAGGCGGUUACUCAAGUCAGAGGUGAAAGCCCGGAGCUUAACUCCGGAAUUGCCUUUGAAACUAGGUGACUUGAAUCCAGGAGAGGUGAGUGGAAUUCCGAGUGUAGAGGUGAAAUCCGUAGAUAUUCGGAGGAACACCAGUGGCGAAGGCGGCUCACUGGAUCGGUACUGACGCUGAGGUGCGAAAGCGUGGGGAGCAAACAGG
Molecule: ribosomal RNA, 253 nt
Filed under: uncultured bacterium
Lineage: Bacteria
Description: partial 16S ribosomal RNA
Rfam family: Bacterial small subunit ribosomal RNA
Source: RNAcentral